RNAcentral lists this long non-coding RNA (321 nucleotides) under Ananas comosus (pineapple). RNAcentral describes it as "long non-coding RNA (ACOM_LNC021975)". Lineage: Eukaryota; Viridiplantae; Streptophyta; Magnoliopsida; Poales; Bromeliaceae. The record is from RNAcentral.
AAUUUAUUGAAAAAACAAAGGUAAAAAGGUAAAUAAUAACUUAUUUGAACUCUGAACAAUUUUGAGUUGACACUUUGACUUUAAAAUUCAAAUAUGUUAUUACAUAAUUCUUGCAACUAAUUAAUUCAUUAAAAUAAAUAAUUAAUUUAAAUUUUUAAAAGUCAAAUAUUGUUGACGAAUUCAAAUCAAAUAAAUUAAAAGAUCAGAUAAUAAAAUUAAAAGUUUGAAAGAUUUAGUAGUGAUCUAUUCAAAAUGGUUUAUAGUUUCAGGUAAGAAUUAUAUGUUUUUACUGGAAAAAAAAUGGUAAAAAUAUAAGAAUAU